UAAGCAUAUCAAUAAGCGGAGGAAAAGAAACUAACAAGGAUUCCCCUAGUAACUGCGAGUGAAGCGGGAAAAGCUCAAAUUUAAAAUCUGGCGGUCUUUGGCCGUCCGAGUUGUAGUCUGGAGAAGUGUUUUCCGUGCUGGACCGUGUACAAGUCUCUUGGAACAGAGCGUCAUAGAGGGUGAGAAUCCCGUCUUUGACACGGACUACCAGUGCUUUGUGAUGCGCUCUCAAAGAGUCGAGUUGUUUGGGAAUGCAGCUCAAAAUGGGUGGUAAAUUCCAUCUAAAGCUAAAUAUUGGCGAGAGACCGAUAGCGAACAAGUACCGUGAGGGAAAGAUGAAAAGCACUUUGGAAAGAGAGUUAAACAGUACGUGAAAUUGCUGAAAGGGAAACGCUUGAAGUCAGUCGCGUUGAUCAGAACUCAGCCUUGCUUUUGCUUGGUGCAUUUUCUGGUUGACGGGCCAGCAUCGAUUUUGACCAUCGGAAAAAGGCCAGGGGAAUGUGGCACCUUCGGGUGUGUUAUAGCCCUUGGUCACAUACGGUGGUUGGGAUCGAGGACCGCAGCACGCCUUUAUGGCCGGGGUUCGCCCACGUUCGUGCUUAGGAUGCUGGCGUAAUGGCUUUAAACGACCCGUCUUGAAACACGGACCAAGGAGUCUAACAUGCCUGCGAGUGUUUGGGUGGAAAACCCGAGCGCGUAAUGAAAGUGAAAGUUGAGAUCCCUGUCGUGGGGAGCAUCGACGCCCGGACCUGAACUUCGGUGAUGGCUCUGCGGUAGAGCAUGUAUGUUGGGACCCGAAAGAUGGUGAACUAUGCCUGAAUAGGGUGAAGCCAGAGGAAACUCUGGUGGAGGCUCGUAGCGAUUCUGACGUGCAAAUCGAUCGUCAAAUUUGGGUAUAGGGGCGAAAGACUAAUCGAACCAUCUAGUAGCUGGUUC
RNAcentral lists this ribosomal RNA (936 nucleotides) under Fomitopsis quercina. RNAcentral's name for it is "LSU rRNA". It matches the Rfam family "Eukaryotic large subunit ribosomal RNA", at positions 35 to 957 of the family's 3401-position model. The record is from RNAcentral. Lineage: Eukaryota; Fungi; Basidiomycota; Agaricomycetes; Polyporales; Fomitopsidaceae.